Molecule: transfer RNA, 67 nt
Filed under: Marmota monax (woodchuck)
Lineage: Eukaryota; Metazoa; Chordata; Mammalia; Rodentia; Sciuridae
Description: tRNA.Ala
Source: RNAcentral
GGUUAUGGCUCAGAGGUAGAGCGCUCGCCUUGCAAGUGCAAGGCCCUGGGUUCAAUCCUCAGCACCA